This 467-nucleotide ribosomal RNA is filed under the name uncultured bacterium. RNAcentral's name for it is "partial 16S ribosomal RNA". It matches the Rfam family "Bacterial small subunit ribosomal RNA", at positions 28 to 506 of the family's 1533-position model. The record is from RNAcentral.
GACGAACGCUGGCGGCGUGCUUAACACAUGCAAGUCGAACGGAAAGGCCCUGCUUUUGUGGGGUGCUCGAGUGGCGAACGGGUGAGUAACACGUGGGUAACCUGCCCUUGACUUUGGGAUAACUUCAGGAAACUGGGGCUAAUACCGGAUAGGAGCUCCUGCUGCAUGGUGGGGGUUGGAAAGUUUCGGCGGUUGGGGAUGGACUCGCGGCUUAUCAGCUUGUUGGUGGGGUAGUGGCUUACCAAGGCUUUGACGGGUAGCCGGCCUGAGAGGGUGACCGGCCACAUUGGGACUGAGAUACGGCCCAGACUCCUACGGGAGGCAGGAGUGGGGAAUAUUGCACAAUGGGCGGAAGCCUGAUGCAGCAACGCCGCGUGCGGGAUGACGGCCUUCGGGUUGUAAACCGCUUUCGCCUGUGACGAAGCGUGAGUGACGGUAAUGGGGAAAGAAGCACCGGCUAACUACGG